AGGUGAGGUUAUCUAUCUGGAGAUUCCUGCCUGCCUGAGGCCUUUUGAAGGAGAGGUGUUCUGUUGCUUGGAUCAUUUUUGUGGCCCACUUCUGGAAGCACUCCAACAGGUUUAUGUCUUUCCUGUGCUAAGGACUCUGCAUCUGGACAUAGUACUCUAGGUCAAGAUACGCAGGAUACAUUUCCUGUAAGCGUCUAUUGAAGUGCUCUUCCUUUCUAUACAAGCGACUAGGUAUUGUAGAUAAACUCAAGACCAGAUCUACUACGAUGAUAUACAGGCUACAGAAAGGCCUUCUGUGGAACUUAAACCAACUCUAAAUCACAGAAUGGCUGAGAUUGGAAGGAACCUGUGGAGGUAAUCUGGUCCAACCACCCCAGUCAAACCUAGAGCAAGCUGCAGAGGACCAUGUCCAGAUGACAUCUUAAUAUCUCCAAGGAUGGAGACUCUACAACCUCUCUUAGCAACCUGUGCCAGGGCUCAGACAUCUUCACAGUUAAAAAAAAUAAAAAAAAAAUCUCCCAUGUUUCAGCUUCUGCCUAUUGCCUCUUGUCCUAUCCCUGAGUAUUACUGAAAAAAGAGCCUGGUUCAAUCCUCUUUGUUCCCCUUUUUCAGAUGUAAGAUCCUCUCAAGCCUUCUUUCCUCUAGGCUGGAUUGUCCCAGCUCUCUCAGCUGCUCCUCAUAGGAAUCAAACAAUCAUUAAGGUUUGAAAAGAUCUUUAAGAUUAAGCCCAACAUCAACCUAUUGCUAUUAUGCCCACCAAAUCAUGUCCCUAAGUACUGUAUCUACAUAUUUCUUGAAAAUCUCUGGGGCGGUGACUCCCCUACUUCCCUGGGCAGCCAAUGCUUGACUACCCUUUCAGAUGAUAAAUUUUCCUCAAAUCCAACUUGAACCUCCCCUAGCACAACUAGAUGCCAUUACCUACUAUCCUAUCGGUAGUAACCUGUGGGAAGAGACCAGCUCCCACCUUAAUACAAUCUCCUAUCAGGUAGCUGCAGAGAGCCAUGAGGUCUCCCUUAAGCCUCCUCCAGAAUAAAUCACAGUACCCACAGCUGUUGCUCUUCAUAAAGUUUGUGCUUCAGGUGAAUUUAAUCCCAUUCACCACCAGUCUCUAAGCCUGGUCAUCUGGUGAGUUUUUUUACCCAGCAAAGAGUACACCCCUCUAAGCCAUGAGCUACCACUUUCUCCAAGAAAACGCCAUGGGAGAUGGUGUCAAAGGCCUUAUUGAUGUCUAAGCAGACUACAUCCAUAGUCUUUCCCUCAUCCACUAGGCAGGUCACCUGAUUACAGAAGGAGAUCAUGUUGGUCAAGCAGGAUCCUGCCUUUCAUGAACCUAUGCUGGCUCGGCCUGAUCCCCUGAUUGUUCUGUACAUAGAACAUGAUCACUCCCAAGACUAUUUGCUCCACAGCCUUCCUUGAUAUUGAGGUCAGGCUGACAGUCUCCCAGAUCUUCCUUCUGACCAUUUUUGUAGAUAGGCAUCACACUGGCAAGUCUGUAGUCAUCUGGAACCUUCUUGGUUGGCAUAGACUGCUAAUAAAUGACAGAAAACGCCUUAGUAAGCACUUCUGUCAGCUCCCUCAGUACACUUGGGUGGAUCCCAUCUGGACCCUUAGAUUUGUAAUAGUCUUGGUAGAGAAAUAGGUUGCUGUUUCUUCCUGAACUGUGGGGGACUUAUUCUGCUCCCAAUAAUGGUAUUCCAGUCAAGCACACAGAAUGAGAAAUUCCUGUCAGCCUAUGCCUCACAGAAAAGGCAUGAGCAUUGUAUACUAGAGCUUAUCAUUCUCAAAAGUAAUCCUAAUAAAACACAUAUAUAAUAAAAAAAAACCCUCUAAUGUGGGGCUGAUGCACAGAUUUUGUAUAUAAAGAGCACCUUCAAUUAAGGGUUAGAUUUCUAACCUCUCCACCUUUCCUUCUACCCACCUCCUCCAUGCUCCUCUGGAAGUUUUUGUAAUGUAGUCACGGUGAU
Gallus gallus (chicken) is the source of this 1964-nucleotide long non-coding RNA. The record is from Ensembl. Lineage: Eukaryota; Metazoa; Chordata; Aves; Galliformes; Phasianidae.